AAUGAACGCUGGCGGCAUGCCUAACACAUGCAAGUCGAACGGAGCCUUCGGGCUUAGUGGCGCACGGGUGCGUAACGCGUGGGAAUCUACCCUAGGGUUCGGAAUAACUCAGAGAAAUUUGAGCUAAUACCGGAUGAUGUCGCAAGACCAAAGAUUUAUCGCCCAAGGAUGAGCCCGCGUAGGAUUAGCUAGUUGGUGAG
RNAcentral lists this ribosomal RNA (200 nucleotides) under uncultured bacterium. RNAcentral describes it as "partial 16S ribosomal RNA". It matches the Rfam family "Bacterial small subunit ribosomal RNA", at positions 29 to 256 of the family's 1533-position model. The record is from RNAcentral.